This 330-nucleotide unclassified non-coding RNA is filed under the name soil metagenome. RNAcentral's name for it is "partial contains 5.8S ribosomal RNA, internal transcribed spacer 2, and large subunit ribosomal RNA". The stretch from base 1 to 120 matches the Rfam family "5.8S ribosomal RNA", at positions 35 to 154 of the family's 154-position model. The record is from RNAcentral.
GAUGAAGAACGUAGUGAAAUGCGAUAAGUAAUGUGAAUUGCAGAAUUCAGUGAAUCAUCGAAUCUUUGAACGCACAUUGCGCCCCCUGGUAUUCCGGGGGGCAUGCCUGUUCGAGCGUCAUUUCACCACUCAAGCCUCGCUUGGUAUUGGGCAACGCGGUCCGCCGCGUGCCUCAAAUCGACCGGCUGGGUCUUCUGUCCCCUAAGCGUUGUGGAAACUAUUCGCUAAAGGGUGUUCGGGAGGCUACGCCGUAAAACAACCCCAUUUCUAAGGUUGACCUCGGAUCAGGUAGGGAUACCCGCUGAACUUAAGCAUAUCAAUAGCGGAGGA